This 500-nucleotide ribosomal RNA is filed under the name uncultured bacterium. RNAcentral's name for it is "partial 16S ribosomal RNA". It matches the Rfam family "Bacterial small subunit ribosomal RNA", at positions 28 to 507 of the family's 1533-position model. The record is from RNAcentral.
GACGAACGCUGGCGGCGUGCUUAACACAUGCAAGUCGAACGGGUCUGCCCUGUUUUUUGCGGGGUGGGUCAGUGGCGAACGGGUGAGUAACACGUGAGUAACCUGCCCCUCACUUCUGGAUAACCGCUUGAAAGGGUGGCUAAUACGGGGUGUUCUGGCUGUGCCGCAUGGUGUGGCUGGGAAAGAUUCACGUUUGUGGUGUUUUGGUGGGGGAUGGGCUCGCGGCCUAUCAGCUUGUUGGUGGGGUGAUGGCCUGCCAAGGCUUUGACGGGUAGCCGGCCUGGGAGGGUGGGCGGUCACACUGGGACUGCGAUACGGCCGAGACUCCUGCGGGACGCAGCAGUGGGGGGUAUUGCACAGUGGGCGGAAGCCUGAUGCAGCGACGUCGCGUGAGGGAUGGCGGCCUUCGGGUUGUGAACCUCUUUCGCCGGUGAAGAAGGUCCUGCUCUUUGUGGUGGGGUUGACGGUAGCCGGGUUAUGAAGCGCCGGCUAACUACGUG